Molecule: ribosomal RNA, 630 nt
Filed under: Triticum aestivum (bread wheat)
Lineage: Eukaryota; Viridiplantae; Streptophyta; Magnoliopsida; Poales; Poaceae
Description: partial small subunit ribosomal RNA
Source: RNAcentral
AUGAAGGUUCGAAAUCUGUAUUCCCUUCGCGAGGAUCUAAACAGGGCAGCGGUUGUUGUCCUGUGGAUACCCCUCUUAUUCUGGAUACCCCUCGGUUGCAUGGUUUUCCGCGUGAACGGCCUGCCUCCCAAAUUCUCCGUUCAGGUCAGCGAGGCCAGGAGUCCCGAGGUUCCCCGCGCGGCGGUCCCAGCCGACCCCGUCUCCACUACCACUACCAGUACCGCCUUCAACAUUACCCUGCACGCCGUCAACCGGCGCCCCGCGGACAGGUGCUACCGCCAAGGCGAGGCGGUUGUGCUCUACUCCGGCCUCACCGUCGCGUGGGGCCGCACGCCGCGCUUCUGCGUGGGCGCGAUGCAUACACGGGACGUGACGGUCGUGGCAUGGGCCGACGACGGUGUCCAGUUGCCUACCUUGCUCAGAGACCAGAUGGCGAUGGAGCGGCGUGCUGGCUCGGUGGAGCUCGAUGUCGAUCUGAGGCUGUUCCGGAGCGAUGACGGCUCGGCCAGACCAACGUGGAUGCGGUGCAAGGUGACGACGGGUGGACCCAAGCAGAUGGACGGAGUUCCAUGCACAGUAUUCGCUCUGCAGAAUUGGGCCUCGGAUGUUGCCCCGUGUUGGAUGCAGUGA